Long non-coding RNA from Beta vulgaris subsp. vulgaris (sugar beet), 530 nucleotides. RefSeq lists it as uncharacterized. NCBI's taxonomy places the organism in Eukaryota, Viridiplantae, Streptophyta, Magnoliopsida, Caryophyllales, Amaranthaceae. The transcript has 2 exons. The record is from RefSeq and is a predicted model, not a curated record.
UAAUGUUACUAACUUAGGGCAUUCUUGUCAACAUCUUGUAAAUACUACUGCUUCUAUGUUUUUUGUGUGUGUCACUACAGAUUUUUGGUACUUUCAAUUUGGAUGAUAAUACACUAAGAUGCUUGUUCGUAACUUCACUUUUUUUCCUCUUCUUUUAUAUCAAGUGACCCUCUCUGGUAAUCAACAACCUGUUCGAACUGAGAUUACUGAAGCUGCAAUGGAACUAGGAGCUGAAAAACUCUCGCUUUUAGUUACCGAGGCAUACAAAGAUGCACACCAGAAGAGCGUGCAGGUGAGACUCAAGUGAGGCUUUGCUCGAGGAUUGAAUUUUCAAGGGACUCAUCUUUUGCAUGAAUGAGUUGUGUAACCUCCUUGUAUACAUUAGACGCAAGCAAUGAGUUAUUCCAAUUCUUUUGAAAUUUUACCUAAUCAGAGAAUUGAACCUAGCCUAUCAUUAUAGAGUAAUAUAUGUUUGAUUUGACCAAUAUUAUACAACUGAUCACUACAUUGCAAGUCCUGAAGUUAUCACA